GCCGCCAUCCAUGUCGCCGCCGCCGACCACCCGGACGCCCUCCGCGCGCGCCGGGACGGCAUUGCCAAGCUCCUCUACACCGCGCUCGUCGUCCUCCCGCCGCUGCUUCACAAGCCGCCUACGUCGCGCUCUCCCCUCCCGACGCCGUGCUCCGCCUCCUCGCCUCCCUCCCCUGUGCCCCCAAUUUCUUCAUGCUCAACACACGCUCUGUGCCCUAGCAUCCUCCCCCGGCCCGGCCUCCGCCCUCGGCUUCUUCUCCCUCCUCCGCCGCGACAGCGGCAACAGCAGCGGCGGCGGCGGCGGCUCGUACUCGCCUCACUCCCUCCCGGGCACGCGCGGAAAGAAUAACGAAGGAGGCGAGCUCCCUCCUCUCCCGCCGGCGAGCUGGAAGGGCGGCGGACGGCUAGGCAAGCUCCCUGGCCUACCGGCGAGCGCGCGUGCGUCGCUCCCUCCUCUCCCGCCGGCGCCGCUCCUGUGCGUCAGCCAUCCGUGUGCGGUUCGUGCGAGGCGCCGCUCCGGGUGUGCAGGCUUCCGCGCGCCUCCUUCCUCGCUCGCCGUCGCCCUCCCUUCGACUGGCGGCGGCGGCGGAUGGCCGACAAAGAUGAGGCAGCGGCGGCGGCUGUUGACGGUGGCGAUGGGGAUGGGGAUGGGCACCCGUCGGAAGGUGCCGAUGGCGGUGGCCCUAGUGCACCAUGUGAAGGCGGCGGAGACGAUCCUAGAGGGGCAUCCUCCGGUGCCACAAGGCAAGAUCCGUCUCUCCCAGGAGACGAUCGACGCGAUCCUCGCCAGGAAGACGGAGCCUUACCCCAGCGAUUCCCUUCGCUACUACCGGAGCUUGAAAGACAACCCGGCGUUCCCGCCGGAGUUCUCCGACGACCUCAUGCGCACCAUCCUCAGCUGCGCCCGGGAGCACGACAGGUUGCAGAGGCGGAUCCUCGGGCGCCAGGCGUGGAUCCGCAACGAGUUGGAGGAGAAGGGCUAUACGUGUAACUUCGUGUUUAAAUGUCCCCUCUGCACCAAGCUCUGUCCAGGGAGUUCAAGAAAGGAUGAUGAAGUUAUACAACAGAAGAUUAAAUUGCAUGGGUCUGCAAGAUUAACGACCUACAAAGGUAAACAAGAACUAAAAUAA
RNAcentral lists this long non-coding RNA (1129 nucleotides) under Oryza sativa Indica Group (long-grained rice). RNAcentral's name for it is "lncRNA OsMH63_11G021480". Lineage: Eukaryota; Viridiplantae; Streptophyta; Magnoliopsida; Poales; Poaceae. The record is from RNAcentral.